AGUUUUAUAUUCAAAAAUGAUUUUAAAUUGCAAAUUUAAAGGUGGUAAUAUAUCUAAAACUU
RNAcentral lists this transfer RNA (62 nucleotides) under Curtos bilineatus. RNAcentral's name for it is "tRNA-Cys". Lineage: Eukaryota; Metazoa; Arthropoda; Insecta; Coleoptera; Lampyridae. The record is from RNAcentral.